GCGGCGCCUCGCCAUGGUCGACUGAUGUGGGGUCCCUCCACCUUCACUAUCCCUGACCACGACCUCGAGUGGCGGCGCCACCGGUUCUCUCUGUGUGCCCCUCCGCCGCUGCGUCGCCGGUAUCUCGCUGAAAGGCGCGUCGAGCUUGCCAGAUCGGCCCUGCCGCCGCGGAUCCACUUCAUCCCUAUGUUGAUUCGGAGCUGACCUUGAGGCGAUCGCCGAUGAUUGGAUUGAGGGGGCUCCCUUGAGGCAACACCGAGAUGACGGUCUGCUGCAACUCUGCGGCAAGGACAACGCGCGACAGUUAGCUGGUGAUUUGAGUGAAGGGGCUCUCAUGCGGAGAUGUCGACGGGCUGCAAGUCAGGGACAAUGGGUAUGUAGCAGUGGAGGCAUCCCAUCUUCCUUCCUCUGCUUAUGCGCGCAGGUGCUUUGGCCAUUGGUCUCCACAAAUUCUUGAGAAGUCAUGUUGCCUCUUGCGACCCCCUCUGCUGUAUAGUAUCACACCAUUGAGCUGCCCUCUGGUUCCUAAGUAUCCAGAAAAGAAUGCAUAUCUUACUUAAGGAUGAUGGUUCCCUUAAUUGAUUGCAUAACUGCUGGUAUUUGUACUAAAGGUUGAACAUCAAAGGAAGUUCUGAUGAGCAAGAGGUGCCUUUAAUGGUUGAAGUUCCAAUUUAUACAACAAGAUGGUGUGUGUGUGUGUGUCUGUGUCUGUGUGUGUGUGAAAGCUAGAGAUGGAAAUAGAUCUGUUGGUUCAACAAGUGAUGAACAGAGUAGUCACUCCCAUAGGUACUUUUUUUGCAAGAAUCCCAUAGGUACUGUUGUUUGAUUGAAUAUACUUAUAUGCAUUUCUAAUUAAUUUAACUUAUUUAUUGGAAUAGGUUUCCACAAUUCAAUAUCUACUAAGAUUGAUCAUUUAGAGUUAGUGCACUGGACAUGUUAUUGGGAUUAUUUCAGUAGAAGGUAUCUGGACUUCUGUUGCACUCGAGGGAUUGG
Triticum aestivum (bread wheat) is the source of this 993-nucleotide long non-coding RNA. RefSeq lists it as uncharacterized. The record is from RefSeq and is a predicted model, not a curated record. Lineage: Eukaryota; Viridiplantae; Streptophyta; Magnoliopsida; Poales; Poaceae. The transcript has 3 exons.